RNAcentral lists this ribosomal RNA (433 nucleotides) under uncultured bacterium. RNAcentral's name for it is "partial 16S ribosomal RNA". It matches the Rfam family "Bacterial small subunit ribosomal RNA", at positions 29 to 507 of the family's 1533-position model. The record is from RNAcentral.
AACGAACGCUGGCGGCAUGCUUAACACAUGCAAGUCGAACGAGCCCUUCGGUUCUAGUGGCGCACGGGUGCGUACCGCGUGGGAACCUGCCCUUAGGUUCGGCAUACCUCCCCGAAAGGGGUGCUAUUACCGGAUAAUGUCUUCGGCCCAAAGAUUUUUCGCCUUUGGAUGGGCCCGCGUUGGAUUAGCUAGUUGGUAGGGUAAAAGCCUACCAAGGCGACGAUCCAUAGCUGGUCUGAGAGGAUGAUCAGCCACACUGGGACUGAGACACGGCCCAGACUCCUAAGGGAGGCAGCAGUAGGGAAUAUUGGACAAUGGGCGGAAGCCUGAUCCAGCAAUGCCGCGUGAGUGAUGAAGGCCUUAGGGUUGUAAAGCUCUUUUACCCGGGAUGAUAAUGACAGUACCGGGAGAAUAAGCGCCGGCUAACUCCGUG